Molecule: long non-coding RNA, 493 nt
Filed under: Pongo abelii (Sumatran orangutan)
Lineage: Eukaryota; Metazoa; Chordata; Mammalia; Primates; Hominidae
Description: lincRNA
Source: RNAcentral
CUGUAGAAGGCAAGCAUACGGAACUCCGUCUGGUAUUUCUUCCUGGAAACAAACCUGCUCUCAGAAAACCCAUUGAAGUCCCUGUUUUACAACUAACAUAAUGGGCGUGUGGAAAUGCCUCUCCAUCCACCAGGGGGCAGAAACGAACCCUGUGAUUGGCCAGAGAUCUUUGGACUUCAACUUUGAUUUGGAAUAGUUGUAAUUUGCAUAGCCUUUUCACUCUCAGACAUCACUCUUUCUGUCACUAGGAACAUAACCAUAUAGACAUUUCAAAGAAACCUCUUAAUUCUGUGUGAAGCUCUAAACUUCACUCUACCAAUAAACUUCCCCACGUUCACACUAGAGAGAUGUGAUGGGAAUGCUGGGUCUUACAUAUGGUGGUCUUCAUAUUUUCGUGGAUUUGUCUUUUGAGGCAUGGAGUGCCUGACCUUUGCGUAUGCAAGAUUCGCUAGCAUGUAAACUCUGUCACUGUUUCCCAAGAACACAGAAACAG